Molecule: long non-coding RNA, 267 nt
Filed under: Lathyrus oleraceus (garden pea)
Lineage: Eukaryota; Viridiplantae; Streptophyta; Magnoliopsida; Fabales; Fabaceae
Description: Pisum sativum (pea) long non-coding RNA (PSAT_LNC024954)
Source: RNAcentral
AGUGUCAUCAGUGCUCUAGAUACUUCUUGCAGAUAAUCAUAUAUGGGAGAUCGUAUCAUGGGAUACGUUGAUGCACUUGCCAAAAAAAAAAUUAGGACAACCGGGAGAAGAUGAAUGAAGAGAUUCAAGCUUCAGAAGGACGUUUGGCUCGUCAGAUUGAAGUGGUGAAGAGCUAUGUUGAUUAUCUAUGUGGUAAUAACUUCAUCUUACAUCAUGACAAUGUUGCAGCAUGUAUUCCUGUUCCAGAAGACCCUAUUUCUAUAAUAC